This 823-nucleotide ribosomal RNA is filed under the name Bacillus sp. (in: firmicutes). RNAcentral's name for it is "bacterial SSU rRNA". It matches the Rfam family "Bacterial small subunit ribosomal RNA", at positions 108 to 915 of the family's 1533-position model. Lineage: Bacteria; Bacillati; Bacillota; Bacilli; Caryophanales; Bacillaceae. The record is from RNAcentral.
GAGUAACACGUGGGUAACCUGCCUGUAAGACUGGGAUAACUCCGGGAAACCGGGGCUAAUACCGGAUGGUUGUCUGAACCGCAUGGUUCAGACAUAAAAGGUGGCUUCGGCUACCACUUACAGAUGGACCCGCGGCGCAUUAGCUAGUUGGUGAGGUAACGGCUCACCAAGGCGACGAUGCGUAGCCGACCUGAGAGGGUGAUCGGCCACACUGGGACUGAGACACGGCCCAGACUCCUACGGGAGGCAGCAGUAGGGAAUCUUCCGCAAUGGACGAAAGUCUGACGGAGCAACGCCGCGUGAGUGAUGAAGGUUUUCGGAUCGUAAAGCUCUGUUGUUAGGGAAGAACAAGUGCCGUUCAAAUAGGGCGGCACCUUGACGGUACCUAACCAGAAAGCCACGGCUAACUACGUGCCAGCAGCCGCGGUAAUACGUAGGUGGCAAGCGUUGUCCGGAAUUAUUGGGCGUAAAGGGCUCGCAGGCGGUUUCUUAAGUCUGAUGUGAAAGCCCCCGGCUCAACCGGGGAGGGUCAUUGGAAACUGGGGAACUUGAGUGCAGAAGAGGAGAGUGGAAUUCCACGUGUAGCGGUGAAAUGCGUAGAGAUGUGGAGGAACACCAGUGGCGAAGGCGACUCUCUGGUCUGUAACUGACGCUGAGGAGCGAAAGCGUGGGGAGCGAACAGGAUUAGAUACCCUGGUAGUCCACGCCGUAAACGAUGAGUGCUAAGUGUUAGGGGGUUUCCGCCCCUUAGUGCUGCAGCUAACGCAUUAAGCACUCCGCCUGGGGAGUACGGUCGCAAGACUGAAACUCAAAGGAAUUGACG